CAAUAGCGUAUAUUAAAGUUGUUGCGGUUAAAAAGCUCGUAGUUGGAUUUCUGCCGAGGACGACCGGUCCGCCCUCUGGGUGAGUAUCUGGCUCGGCCUGGGCAUCUUCUUGGAGAACGUAGCUGCACUUGACUGUGUGGUGCGGUAUCCAGGACUUUUACUUUGAGGAAAUUAGAGUGUUUCAAGCAGGCUUACGCCUUGAAUACAUUAGCAUGGAAUAAUAAGAUAGGACCUCGGUUCUAUUUUGUUGGUUUCUAGAGCUGAGGUAAUGAUUAAUAGGGAUAGUUGGGGGCAUUCGUAUUUAACUGUCAGAGGUGAAAUUCUUGGAUUUACGGAAGACGAACUACUGCGAAAGCAUUUACCAAGGAUGUUUUCAUUA
This 379-nucleotide ribosomal RNA is filed under the name uncultured eukaryote. RNAcentral describes it as "partial 18S ribosomal RNA". It matches the Rfam family "Eukaryotic small subunit ribosomal RNA", at positions 592 to 975 of the family's 1831-position model. The record is from RNAcentral.